UCAAAGGAAGGUUGGGAGGCAUUAAUGAAAUAGUUCAGUGCUUUGAGCUCUAGAAGCUAUGAUAAGAAGCAAUUAAAGAACAAAUAGGAUAAUUUGAGGAAAGAUUGGAAUAUAUGGGACAAACUAUUAAACAAAGAGAUUGAUUUAGGAUGGGAUAGCGAAAAGAAUACUAUUUCAAAACCAGAAGAGUAGUGGAAUCAAAAGAUUAAGGUAUACAAUUAGACAUGGCAUGCUAUACAUUUGAUAUUUUAUUUUAUAAACAUACUAGACUUAGUUCUUGUAAAUGUGCAAGAGAAUCCUGAGUAUAGGAAAUUUAGACAUAGACCACUUCUAUAUGUACAAGAAUUGACACACUUGUUCUACCAAUUACAGCAUCGGGCACUUACAUGUGGACUGUAACAUCCUAAAACUUCAAAUCUAGAAAAAUGGAUUAAUUAAGGGAUAAAUUAGUUAAAAAUAUGAUUAAUUUAUUUAAUUAUGGUUUUGGUUGGCUAAUUGGAUUUUUGGGUCAUAUUUGGCUCUAAAUUGAGAUAGGAUGAAAGUCAGAUCAAGUCGGGAGGCAUCAGGGGGAGCAAAAUUAAGUUGUUGCUCGCUGCGUCAUGAGCCAUGGCUUGCGUGGCGUGCGCUGCGGCGCACAACAUAGCAGGCAACUUAAAUUUUCGAGAAUCAUCAAAAAUUGAUAGAAAACCUAGAGCACAAAGGGGGCAACUUUGGGUACAACUAGGGCAUCAAUUUGGAAGGAUUUUGAAGAUCAUUUGAGUCUCCAAACUCUUAGGUCAUAUUUGGCUCUAAAUUGAGAUAGGAUGAAAGUUGGAUCAAGUCAGAAGGCAUCAAGGGGAGCAAAAUCAAGUUGUUGCUCACUGCUAGGGCAUCAAUUUUGGAGGAUUUUGAAGAUGAUUUGAGCCUUCAAACUCUUGGAUUGUGGUGUGGGAAGACUUAUAUUGACACAAGAAGAGAAUUAGUACCAUGGGUAACCCUUUUAGUAACAAAAGGGUUGAGGUAACUGGAUAAUUUGCAUUGUUUAUUACCUUGUAUAAAUUAUUCUCAAGUUUCUUUUCUAUGAAUUGUUGAGUAUAUAUGUAUAAAUUCCUUAGAGGUUAACUAUUUUAGAAAAGGUGGAGUAUUGGUUUGUAAAAUUCUAUAUUUUUGAAGUAAUGGAAAUAUUUUGUUAUACCUGUUUGAAAAGUUGUUUAUGCAUGGUCAAGUGAAGAUAUGUAGUGAAAUGUGGCAUAUUAGAGGGUGGUAGGUCACCUUAGUGGAGAUAGUGAAGAUUAAGUCCAUAUGGCAUUGCUGGUACCUCGGGACGCCAGGUGUAGCAUUUACUCUCCUUGCCCGAAAAUGGGUGCGGUGUUGGAGACUUACUCUCCUUAGUACCCAAAAGGGUGCGGAGUUAGAGACUAUGCUCCUUAGCAUCCGUAGGACGAGGUAUUGGAGUAACAACACCCCAAUUACUUGUAAUAGGGGGAAACAGUAGUCUGAAAAUGGUUUAGGAUACCUUGGCUAGGUAGUCCUACCAUGAAUGGUGAGCUUAGGGACCAUACAUGUGGUUUGGUUUUGUAGAAUAGCCUACUGGUUUGGUCAGGAGUAUUGGAGGACCGUAUGGUUAGAGAUCAUGCAUGUAAAUUUACGGUGAUAUUAUAUGAUGUGAUUAUAUUACUUAUUUUAAUGCUUGUUUAUAACUUGACUUGUUAAUUAAUAAUAUAGAUUAUCUUAGUUACUGAGAUUUUUAUCCCAUCCCGUGGAUUAUCAUUUUAUAGGUACUACCAGUGAGACUGAGCCAAGGAGGGAAUCGGGCAGGGACUAGCAUAUUUGCUACACUCUUUGUAAAGCCCAAUUUCGGUUUGAGUGGUGUACAUAAACUUGUUAUAUGAUAUUAUAAUUUACCAACUAGGAAUGCAUAUCAUUUUGAUUGGUUGUACUUGUUGUAUACUAUGUUAUUGUCUAUUUUAGCCCGAUAUUGUAUAUGAGAUGAAGAUGUGGUAAUUUUUGUUGUGAUGGGCUAAAAUACUAAUA
This is a long non-coding RNA of Prosopis cineraria, 2013 nucleotides long. RefSeq lists it as uncharacterized. NCBI's taxonomy places the organism in Eukaryota, Viridiplantae, Streptophyta, Magnoliopsida, Fabales, Fabaceae. The transcript has 3 exons. The record is from RefSeq and is a predicted model, not a curated record.